AGUGAACGCUGGCGGUAGGCCUAACACAUGCAAGUCGAACGGCAGCACAGGAGAGCUUGCUCUCUGGGUGGCGAGUGGCGGACGGGUGAGGAAUACAUCGGAAUCUACUUUUUCGUGGGGGAUAACGUAGGGAAACUUACGCUAAUACCGCAUACGACCUACGGGUGAAAGCAGGGGACCUUCGGGCCUUGCGCGAUUGAAUGAGCCGAUGUCGGAUUAGCUAGUUGGCGGGGUAAAGGCCCACCAAGGCGACGAUCCGUAGCUGGUCUGAGAGGAUGAUCAGCCCCACUGGAACUGAGACACGGGCCAGACUCCUACGGGAGGCAGCAGUGGGGAAUAUUGGACAAUGGGCGCAAGCCUGAUCCAGCCAUACCGCGUGGGUGAAGAAGGCCUUCGGGUCGUAAAGCCCUUUUGUUGGGAAAGAAAUCCAGCUGGCUAAUACCCGGUUGGGAUGACGGUACCCAAAGAAUAAGCACCGGCUAACUUCGUGCCAGCCGCCGCCGUAA
RNAcentral lists this ribosomal RNA (506 nucleotides) under uncultured bacterium. RNAcentral's name for it is "partial 16S ribosomal RNA". It matches the Rfam family "Bacterial small subunit ribosomal RNA", at positions 29 to 523 of the family's 1533-position model. The record is from RNAcentral.